This 73-nucleotide transfer RNA is filed under the name Bos taurus (domestic cattle). It matches the Rfam family "tRNA". From Rfam's summary of the family: Transfer RNA (tRNA) molecules are approximately 80 nucleotides in length. Their secondary structure includes four short double-helical elements and three loops (D, anti-codon, and T loops). Further hydrogen bonds mediate the characteristic L-shaped molecular structure. tRNAs have two regions of fundamental functional importance: the anti-codon, which is responsible for specific mRNA codon recognition, and the 3' end, to which the tRNAs corresponding amino acid is attached (by aminoacyl-tRNA synthetases). tRNAs cope with the degeneracy of the genetic code in two manners: having more than one tRNA (with a specific anti-codon) for a particular amino acid; and 'wobble' base-pairing, i.e. permitting non-standard base-pairing at the 3rd anti-codon position. RNAcentral also lists the same sequence under 5 other names. The record is from Rfam by way of RNAcentral. Lineage: Eukaryota; Metazoa; Chordata; Mammalia; Artiodactyla; Bovidae.
UCCCCAGUGGUCCAAUGGUCAGGACUCCACACUUUUCACUUCCAGGGCCUGGGUUCAAUCCCUGGUUGGGGAA